CCUACGGGGGGCAGCAGUGGGGAAUAUUGCACAAUGGGCGCAAGCCUGAUGCAGCCAUGCCGCGUGUGUGAAGAAGGCCUUCGGGUUGUAAAGCACUUUCAGCGGGGAGGAAGGCGUUAAGGUUAAUAACCUUGGCGAUUGACGUUACCCGCAGAAGAAGCACCGGCUAACUCCGUGCCAGCAGCCGCGGUAAUACGGAGGGUGCAAGCGUUAAUCGGAAUUACUGGGCGUAAAGCGCGCGCAGGCGGUCUGUCAAGUCGGAUGUGAAAUCCCCGGGCUCAACCUGGGAACUGCAUUCGAAACUGGCAGGCUAGAGUCUUGUAGAGGGGGGUAGGAUUCCAGGUGUAGCGGUGAAAUGCGUAGAGAUCUGGAGGAAUACCGGUGGCGAAGGCGGCCCCCUGGACAAAGACUGACGCUCAGGUGCGAAAGCGUGGGGAGCAAACAGGAUUAGAUACCCGUGUAGUC
Molecule: ribosomal RNA, 465 nt
Filed under: uncultured Klebsiella sp.
Lineage: Bacteria; Pseudomonadati; Pseudomonadota; Gammaproteobacteria; Enterobacterales; Enterobacteriaceae
Description: bacterial SSU rRNA
Rfam family: Bacterial small subunit ribosomal RNA
Source: RNAcentral